Small nuclear RNA from Echinops telfairi (small Madagascar hedgehog), 112 nucleotides. RefSeq annotates it as U5 spliceosomal RNA. The record is from RefSeq and is a predicted model, not a curated record. NCBI's taxonomy places the organism in Eukaryota, Metazoa, Chordata, Mammalia, Afrosoricida, Tenrecidae. The transcript has a single exon.
UCACUCUGGUUUCUCUUCAGAUUGUGUAAAUCUUUUGCCUUUUACUAAAGAUUCCCAUGGAGAGGCAAAAAAAAUAAUGACCACUCUUUUAAAAAAAAGACAAAACAAUUUU